AUGGCUCUUCAACGGCUCAAAGGGAGAUACGGAUUCAGUGAUUCUCCAAUGAUUGAAGGGCUGAAGCCACUGAAGAUGAAAGUUGAAACAUUGAGAGAAUCAGAGAGAAUGAAGAUAGAACAUACUGAAGAUGGUGAGAAUUUGAUGAAGAUUGAUGAUUGCUGCUGCUUGAAGCAGGGGUUUCAGAGAGAUGAAGAUUGCAGCGUUGAUGUGAAGAUGAUGAGAAGUUUCUCUGAGAUGCGAAAUUGA
Vicia faba (fava bean) is the source of this 249-nucleotide non-coding RNA. Lineage: Eukaryota; Viridiplantae; Streptophyta; Magnoliopsida; Fabales; Fabaceae. The record is from the annotation of a GenBank genome assembly.